This 210-nucleotide long non-coding RNA is filed under the name Trifolium pratense (red clover). Its description in RNAcentral is "long non-coding RNA (TPRA_LNC004178)". Lineage: Eukaryota; Viridiplantae; Streptophyta; Magnoliopsida; Fabales; Fabaceae. The record is from RNAcentral.
UCUAAGUGAGAAUAUGAGGAAUCGAAUUCAGAUUCACUCCAGCGUUUGAGUGCAGACAAUGAAACAGGCCUUCUUGUUCCACUACCAUAAAUACCUGAACAAUGCCAAAUAUUAAUAUCAGGACUCUCCACUUCCUUUCUUCCUGCUGAAGUGACUUCAAUGUUCACAUCUUCUUCAUCACUGUCACUUAACACAAUAAUAUCAUUGAUA